Lolium perenne is the source of this 2062-nucleotide long non-coding RNA. RefSeq lists it as uncharacterized. The record is from RefSeq and is a predicted model, not a curated record. NCBI's taxonomy places the organism in Eukaryota, Viridiplantae, Streptophyta, Magnoliopsida, Poales, Poaceae.
UCGUCCACUGUUGAGCGUCUGGUAUGUGCUUGCUGACUCUUUGAUGAAAUUGUUGUAUAAUUUUUCAUCCAGAUCGGUUCAUGGAAAGGUGAGCAUUUUUUCUGUAUUGCUCAUGAAAAAGGUUGGUAUUGUUUUCGUAUCCAACAAAUAAAUACUACAAAUUACAUAUUGAGUCGAUGCAAGCUGAUCGUGAAUCAUUAUAUGCUGGUCCGUACGUGCUAGAGACGAGACAAAUUCUAGCUGAUAUUUGCUAGACGAUAGCUUGCUGCUGCUGCUAGAUAUACAUAAAUUUUGACUGAAUUUUUUAGAGGAUUGCUUAUACUGAAUUUUGGUACACCAUUGCUUGUCCUUAAGUUUGUUAGACGAUUCCUUGACCCGCUCUUUUGUAAACAGGAAUGACAUCCUAACUAAUCAUGUUUAAUGGAGAAGAAAAGAAGAAAAGAGAAAUGAAAUGCUGCGAUUUGGCUAUGACAUAGCUUCUACAGUGAAAUCAACUGAUUUCCUACUGAUAAGAAGAAGAGAAUCCUCGAGAAGAAAGAAGGCCCACUGAAAUGGCAGCAAAAACAUUAUGAAUAUGCGACCAACAUCUCAUGGAGCCGCUCAUGCAUUAUCAAACACCACCACGGGUUUGUUGCUUUCUCUUAUGGUGGGUUGCAAAAUAUUUGGGGAAAUUGCUGCUUAUUUUUUUGGGCCAUUUGUGCACAUCCUAGCAGAUGUUACCUCUGUUGGUUCAUGUAUGAAUGAAUUUCCGUUCUAUUGGAUAUAUGCUUCUCGAUAUUUGUAUGUAUGCUGUGACCUUCAUGAUGCUCUACUUUCAACAUGAAUAAGUUCACAUGCAUAUCUCUGAUUUUUUUUGCAAUUCAUAUCUCGGAUGUCACAUGAAUGUUCGUGAUUUGCAUUCUUAUUCAUAUGUACACACUUGCAUCUUAAAUGUGCAUCUAUGAAUGAUUACUUGACUGGGUUCUGCAUUAUGGCCAAGAAGGAAUGCUAUUAUCCUUAGCUUGUGUUAGAUAUGAUGUACUCCAUAUUGGGCAGCAUAAUAUAUUCAACUAUGCUGGCACCUGAAAGAUUCUUUAUCUUUUUGGUGCUUUGUGAUACAUUCAAAAUCUGGAAGAAGAAUUAACCAUCCUCUGUUCGUCGUGAAGAUGUAUCCACUAAGUAGUUCAAGAUUUAUGAGUGAAGUACUGAACAUUACUUUGCACAGCUCUGUUGACAUGCAGCCAUUUUGUUGUCAGGAUUCCAUAAUUCAGCUAGUAACAUAAUUGGCCAUCAUGCACGACAGUAGAACAAAAUGUAUCAUUUUACGUGAUAUGCAAAAAGAAAAGUUAAAGAAGGAUGGUGGCACAAAACGGGAAGCAGGUGGUACAUUCACUAGAUGGGGACUGGUCAUAAGCUAAUUAUGGCUUCUUGAUGCUCAUUUAAUUGAUUGCUGCGUACGGAAGUUACAUGUUAAUAUACUCAUGUAUAUACUUUGUUAACGCUACAAAGUUAACAGAUAACUUGGGGCUUGUAUAUGUGUCAAAUGAGACUAUCUUAUUUGGCACAAUAAGAUACUGUCUUCCGUAAAUGUGUUGCUGGACAUAGCAUGAAGAAUGAAUUCAAUUUUUUUUCUUCUAAUUUGCAAGAUUAAAAGCAAGAGUAUGGAUAUUUGAAAAUGUGAGAGAUAUCCAAGCCAGAGGCUAAAAGGUGUUGUGAGCCCGCAACAGCAAAAAGGAGCAUGGAUCGAUCCGUGGCACCCCGGACAAAGUGGUAAACAACCCUCCUCCACUCCAUUAUUCAUGAAGUUUUUUUUAUUUAGAAGCUUUACAAUGUUUGACAUUUUGGAUGCCCCUGAUUGUUAGGUGUAGAACCAAGAAGAAUGAUCAAGGGUGAACACAUGUCUAGCGCGUUCUUAAAGGUGUUUCAUUUUUCCAAGACAAAUUUAGAUGGUUAUAGAUUUUGCGUUUACUGAACACUCAUUUUCUAUGCUUCUUUUAUUAUAUAGCCAGGGGCUAACAGAACCAUAUAAUUUCAUAUUCCUAUUAUAAAAUGUAGCCAUUAAGAUUUCUCACAGUUGUACAGA